GACAAAUUACUCCACUUUAAUAAGAUGAAAGACUUUCAUGUUUUUUAUGAUACUAUAAUACUAUAAUUGAAACCCAACUGAAAAUUUUUCUACUCUUUGUAUAUAAAUUACACAUGAUAGAAUCUUAACUCUUAGUAACCUUGUUUUAGCAAAGACAGAGACACAAAGCAAUAUUAAACCUUUUUCCAUUUACCAAUUUAUGAAAACACACAUAAUGUUUAAAUAUAUUACCUUAUGGAACUUAAUAAGUAAAGAGUACUUGAUUUCAUAUUUAGUGGUUGAUAUUUUAACACUUUAGCUUUGUAAAUUAAUCAGAUGUCUGUAAAAACCAAGAUCUUAGACAAGUGUAGCAAACAGAACUAGCCAUCUCUUUCUUGUUGAAGAAAAAUCCUUCUACAGGAUACCAUGAUGGUCUCAUUAAUAUACUUAAUAACUCAUCUUUAAAAAGCCAUUUGCUACAUUUUUGUAUUUUAUCAACAUAUGCCUUAACUGUUCUUGGUCUUACUGGGGUGCCUCCUUUCUCUAACAAUUUCUCUUCCUCGGAGGCGAACAACUUCAAACCUUGAGUCAACCAUUUUCCCCAGUUUGCCUGAGAAAGUUCUAGGAACAGGCAACUUGAAAUAAAAACAAAAUAAAUCAAAACAAGAGCAUAUUGUUUUUUGAAUUGGUCACCCAUUCUUUCGCUCUUCCUCAAGGGUGAGAAAUUUCACUUACCUCUAAGAUUCAGAAGUUCCCCGUACGGGCCACCAAAUGCCGCAGUCUGGCUGGGCACAAAUGCCGCAGU
Molecule: long non-coding RNA, 784 nt
Filed under: Marmota monax (woodchuck)
Lineage: Eukaryota; Metazoa; Chordata; Mammalia; Rodentia; Sciuridae
Source: RNAcentral